AGUGAACGCUGGCGGUAGGCCUAACACAUGCAAGUCGAACGGCAGCACAGUAAGAGCUUGCUCUUACGGGUGGCGAGUGGCGGACGGGUGAGGAAUACAUCGGAAUCUACUUUUUCGUGGGGGUUAACGUAGGGAAACUUACGCUAAUACCGCAUACGACCUACGGGUGAAAGCAGGGGAUCUUCGGACCUUGCGCGAUUGAAUGAGCCGAUGUCGGAGUAGCUAGUUGGCGGGGUAAAUGCCCACCAAGUCGACGAUCCGUAGCUGGUCUGAGAGGAGGGUCAGCCGCACUGGAACUGAGACACGGUCCAGACGCCUACGGGAGGCAGCAGUGGGGAAUAUUGGACAAUGGGGGGAAGCAUGAUCCAGCCAUACCGCGUGGGUGAAGAAGGCGUUCGGGUUGUAAAGCCCUUUUGUUGGGAAAGAAAAGCAGCAGGUUAAUACCCAGCUGUUCUGACGGUACCCAAAGAAUAAGCACCGGCUAACUUCGUG
Molecule: ribosomal RNA, 492 nt
Filed under: uncultured bacterium
Lineage: Bacteria
Description: partial 16S ribosomal RNA
Rfam family: Bacterial small subunit ribosomal RNA
Source: RNAcentral